RNAcentral lists this ribosomal RNA (467 nucleotides) under uncultured bacterium. RNAcentral's name for it is "partial 16S ribosomal RNA". It matches the Rfam family "Bacterial small subunit ribosomal RNA", at positions 28 to 507 of the family's 1533-position model. The record is from RNAcentral.
GACGAACGCUGGCGGCGUGCUUAGCACAUGCAAGUCGAACGAUGACGACCGAGCUUGCUCGGUCUGAUUAGUGGCGAACGGGUGAGUAACACGUGAGCAACCUGCCCUUCACUCUGGGAUAACCUCGGGAAAUCGGGGCUAAUACCGGAUAUGAGCUCCUGUCGCAUGGCGGGUGUUGGAAAGUUUUUCGGUGAAGGAUGGGCUCGCGGCCUAUCAGUUUGUUGGUGAGGUAGUGGCUCACCAAGGCGAUGACGGGUAGCCGGCCUGAGAGGGCGACCGGCCACACUGGGACUGAGACACGGCCCAGACUCCUACGGGAGGCAGCAGUGGGGAAUAUUGCACAAUGGGCGAAAGCCUGAUGCAGCGACGCCGCGUGAGGGAUGACGGCCUUCGGGUUGUAAACCUCUUUCAGCAGGGAAGAAGCGAAAGUGACGGUACCUGCAGAAGAAGCGCCGGCUAACUACGUG